Molecule: ribosomal RNA, 484 nt
Filed under: uncultured bacterium
Lineage: Bacteria
Description: partial 16S ribosomal RNA
Rfam family: Bacterial small subunit ribosomal RNA
Source: RNAcentral
AUUGAACGCUGGCGGCAGGCCUAACACAUGCAAGUCGAGCGGAUGAAGGGAGCUUGCUCCUGGAUUCAGCGUCGGACGGGUGAGUAAUGCCUAUGAAUCUGCCUGGUAGUGGGGGAUAACGUCCGGAAACGGGCGCUAAUAUCGCAUACGUCCUGAGGGAGAGAGUGGGGGAUCUUCGGACCUCACGCUAUCAGAUGAUCCUAGGUCGGAUUAGCUAGUUGGUGGGGUAAAGGCCUACCAAGGCGACGAUCCGUAACUGGUCUGAGAGGAUGAUCAGUCACACUGGAACUGAGACACGGUCCAGACUCCUACGGGAGGCAGCAGUGGGGAAUAUUGGACAAUGGGCGAAAGCCUGAUCCAGCAAUGCCGCGUGUGUGAAGAAGGUCUUCGGAUUGUAAAGCACUUUAAGUUGGGAGGAAGGGCAGUAAGUUAAUACCUUGCUGUUUUGACGUUACCAACAGAAUAAGCACCGGCUAACUUCGUG